RNAcentral lists this ribosomal RNA (505 nucleotides) under uncultured bacterium. RNAcentral's name for it is "partial 16S ribosomal RNA". It matches the Rfam family "Bacterial small subunit ribosomal RNA", at positions 29 to 523 of the family's 1533-position model. The record is from RNAcentral.
AGUGAACGCUGGCGGUAGGCCUAACACAUGCAAGUCGAACGGCAGCACAGGAGAGCUUGCUCUCUGGGUGGCGAGUGGCGGACGGGUGAGGAAUACAUCGGAAUCUACUUUUUCGUGGGGGAUAACGUAGGGGAACUUACGCUAAUACCGCAUACGACCUACGGGUGAAAGCAGGGGACCUUCGGGCCUUGCGCGAUUGAAUGAGCCGAUGUCGGAUUAGCUAGUUGGCGGGGUAAAGGCCCACCAAGGCGACGAUCCGUAGCUGGUCUGAGAGGAUGAUCAGCCACACUGGAACUGAGACACGGUCCAGACUCCUACGGGAGGCAGCAGUGGGGAAUAUUGGACAAUGGGCGCAAGCCUGAUCCAGCCAUACCGCGUGGGUGAAGAAGGCCUUCGGGUUGUAAAGCCCUUUUGUUGGGAAAGAAAUCCAGCUGGCUAAUACCCGGUUGGAUGACGGUACCCAAAGAGUAAGCACCGGCUAACUUCGUGCCAGCCGCCGCCGUAA